GUGGGGAAUAUUCCGCAAUGGACGAAAGUCUGACGGAGCAACGCCGCGUGAGUGAUGAAGGUUUUCGGACUGUAAAGCUCUGUUGUUUAGGACGAAAGUGCCUGUUGCAAAUAGUUACAGGUAUUGACGGUACUGAACGAGGAAGCCACGGCUAACUACGUGCCAGCAGCCGCGGUAAUACGUAGGUGGCAAGCGUUGUCCGGAAUUAUUGGGCGUAAAGAGCAUGUAGGCGGGAAUCUAAGUCUGUUGUGAAAAUGCGGGGCUCAACCCCGUAUUGCGAUGGAAACUGGGUUGCUUGAGUGCAGGAGAGGAAAGGGGAAUUCCCAGUGUAGCGAUGAAAUGCGUAGAUAUUGGGAGGAACACCAGUGGCGAAGGCGCCUUUCUGGACUGUGUCUGACGCUGAGAUGCGAAAGCCAGGGUAGCGAACGGGAUUAGAAACCCCUGUAGUCC
This 450-nucleotide ribosomal RNA is filed under the name uncultured bacterium. RNAcentral's name for it is "partial 16S ribosomal RNA". It matches the Rfam family "Bacterial small subunit ribosomal RNA", at positions 354 to 796 of the family's 1533-position model. The record is from RNAcentral.